RNAcentral lists this ribosomal RNA (253 nucleotides) under uncultured bacterium. RNAcentral describes it as "partial 16S ribosomal RNA". It matches the Rfam family "Bacterial small subunit ribosomal RNA", at positions 524 to 776 of the family's 1533-position model. The record is from RNAcentral.
UACAGAGGGGGCAAGCGUUGUUCGGAAUUACUGGGCGUAAAGGGCGCGUAGGCGGCCUUCUAAGUCGAACGUGAAAUCCCCGGGCUCAACCCGGGAACUGCGUCCGAUACUGGAAGGCUUGAAUCCGGGAGAGGGAUGCGGAAUUCCAGGUGUAGCGGUGAAAUGCGUAGAUAUCUGGAGGAACACCGGUGGCGAAGGCGGCAUCCUGGACCGGCAUUGACGCUGAGGAGCGAAGGCCAGGGGAGCAAACGGG